GCCCGGCUAGCUCAGUCGGUAGAGCACGAGACUCUUAAUCUCGGGGUCGAGGGUUCGAGUCCCACGUUGGGCG
RNAcentral lists this transfer RNA (73 nucleotides) under Octopus vulgaris (common octopus). It matches the Rfam family "tRNA". From Rfam's summary of the family: Transfer RNA (tRNA) molecules are approximately 80 nucleotides in length. Their secondary structure includes four short double-helical elements and three loops (D, anti-codon, and T loops). Lineage: Eukaryota; Metazoa; Mollusca; Cephalopoda; Octopoda; Octopodidae. The record is from Rfam by way of RNAcentral. RNAcentral also lists the same sequence under 1 other name.